This 72-nucleotide transfer RNA is filed under the name Sorex araneus (European shrew). RNAcentral's name for it is "tRNA-Asp (GTC) (tRNA-Asp-GTC-4-1)". It matches the Rfam family "tRNA". From Rfam's summary of the family: Transfer RNA (tRNA) molecules are approximately 80 nucleotides in length. Their secondary structure includes four short double-helical elements and three loops (D, anti-codon, and T loops). The record is from RNAcentral. Lineage: Eukaryota; Metazoa; Chordata; Mammalia; Eulipotyphla; Soricidae.
UCCUCGUUAGUAUAGUGGUGAGUAUCCCCGCCUGUCACGCGGGAGGCCAGGGUUCGAUUCCCCGAUGGGGAG